CAAAUAAAUACGAACUUCCGGCUGCACGAUCAUGUUCUGUGUUCUGAUGAUGUGAUUAAGAUAACAGCCGGAUAUGUCAUGCAGAUUCGCAUAUCCUGCUGAAAAAGAAAUAGGGAAUCAAAGACAUUCAAUAUGAGCGCAGAUCAUGUCUAUGAAAAAGAUUAAAAGUGAGUCACUCUUAAAUACAAAAUUCUGCCCUCUACAAGAGCUAAUUCACACUCUGCAGACUUAAAGCUUAACUACCCCUAAAACCCGACAUGACUUGAUUGGCAUCAGAGAAUUGUGUACUGACCAACUCUAGAACUCGAUCUUAUGGAGGAGAAAAGGGAGUACUGAAUCGAAAUAACAAACUUGUUUGGCAGCCCUUCAGACCUCGUUUGUACAAUGACAAGCUCCUUUAGCAACAAGUGCACGAUUGAUACCUAUUGUUGACUUAUGCUGCUUAGGCCUCAAGGCUGCUGCAUGCUAUCCUGCCUAUUUUCCUUCGACACUGACACCUGUUUCAGAUGCAGAUUCCGUUGAAUCUGUUUCAAUAGAAGAUAAUUUGAGAAGCCGCCCUUUUUGGGCCCGAGGUGGUAGAUGCUUUGCAUGCUUUCUUGAUCCUACAGUCCAGGGCAAGAAAACCCCAGUACCCCCACCAGAGAUCCUUUUUGGACUUAACACCAUAGGGGGCACUGGAGCUAGCAUGACCACCGGGCUACGAAGGACUCCCCAUUUGGUCAUCGUAUCCACUGCCUCGUACCCUCCAAGAGCUCCAUUAGGCAUUGCAUAUGGCCCUGGCAUGUUGGGUUGCCACAGGGUCAUGGCACCAGCCACUGGGUUAGUUGGUGGGGACUGGCCUUGACUGGCAUCAGGGCGCACUUUGAAGAAUGUGAUGCUGACCCGUUUGUUUGGAGAUGGGCACAUUACAUGUCUUGCCAUGUCAGAACUGUUUCCCCUCAUUACUAAAAGGGACCUACAAGAUUACCGAAAUCAAGACAUAAGCCAACUUGUCCACUAGUAAUUGCAUGGGAAAAUAGAACGUUGGCAAAUGAUAAAUUUUUAAGAAACUUUCAGUGAGAUUUAUUUCAAGUACACAAUCUAUAUUUAUGGUUGCAGCAAGAUACACUUUAACGCCUCUGUUUCCCUAUUUGUUAUUUGUUGUCACAAAAUGAGCAGAGUUAAUGCAAGAUGCAGGCCUUACGGAAAAAAAUAAAAUAAAAGACCACAGGUGGCAUGGUGACAUGUAAUUAGACAACAUUUAAUUACUUUCAGGAAGUUAAACUCAGCCUAGUUACAAGAUUUAUCUGUUGCUUCUUGUAGUCAUUGCCAAUCAGUACCUAGAAGUGGUAGUAGAGAGUCACUUGGUCACUCCCUUAAAUGAGAAACUUCCAGAAUUCCAGUCAAACAGCUUUGAUGGAGGUUACCAACGCCAGUUGCAGAUAAUGAAGUGGAUGCAAAUGCUAGUUUAACCCCUCCAUUCACAUCAAGAAAUGAAGAGUGUUAUCACCAGACAUUAGAAGUCUAUAACCACAAAAAGAUUAUGGGAUGUUACUGCUUUCACAUAAGUUUAUCUACAAUUAAUUUUUGGAGUUGAAUUUGUUUAUGUAACUAUUUCAUCAUUUAUGCAAUUCCUUAUUUCUAUAGUUUUCUAUUCAAUCCAGCAUUAUAACUUCAGGGUAAUGAAACAGAUAUAUGUGUAAAUACAAUUUAAAGAAACUUUAAGUGUGUACCCUUCUUUCAAUGAAAGCAUAAGUGGACCUCUAUAAUUCCCAUCAUUGUCACUCACAAGAGUACGUCCAAAAGCCAUUGUUGAUUCAGACAGAAGAAGAGUAGAGACUGGUUGCUCCAAAUGGGGUGGCUUCUGAAAAGGCUGUGAAUAUUCAUCCUCAUCAAAGAAAUGAAUGAUACAACCAUUUGGUUUUUUAUAUUCUGGUAUUAGUUGCCACUGAACCAGAUGAUUGAUGACACCUUGGAGAAGUGCUGGAAUUGGUUCUAUAUUACUUGUUCGGUUGUCACUUGUAGCUUCCUCCUUUAUAUGUCCAAAAAUGGGAACGCCAAACUGGACCAGCUCUCUCUUGUUUCCCUUCACCUGCUUGUUGAAUAAAAUGAAAGUCUCGCCUGCAUUCAACAUUUAAGAAGAUCCACUUAGUUUUCAUGAACCAAAAAGCUCUAACUAUGAAUUUAUGCAAAUUUUGAUUGUCAGCAAAGACAAGUUUUUUACUCAAAUUGGAUUUUAAAUAGACAGAAUAUCAGCUCUCUUGUUUCCCUUCACCUUCAAGUCUUUUAUAUCAACAACUAAGAUUAAAUAGGGUAACUAAAACAAAUGAAGGUGAAAUGAAAGAUGUUUAAAAAUCCAAUUUUCUGUUUUACAAAUAUGGGAAGUUUACUUAAAGCAACUUUUAGAACAGAAAGAUACCCAAAGGCCUUCACCACUCUAUUCUCCCAGACUUGCUAGUUAAUCGGACUGCCUCUAGUUGCUCUGUUUCAAAUUGAACUGGGAUAGACUAUAAUGUUUUAGCAACUCAACAUGUCUUAUGCAAAACUAAACCCAAGCUUAAUUUGAUAGGGGUGGAGAAAUGAAUGGGCAAACAUAUUAGAACAAAGCCAAAAGUGAAUUACCAUGUCAAGUUUCAUUUAAAGGGGGGCUCAAUCAUACAAGUAGAACAAAGAGAAAAGUCACCUGCAAGGUCCCCAUUCUGACCAGCAACUCGGAGUUCAUUAACGAAGUCAGUCAACUUAGAUAGCUCAGAAUCAGUGAAAACGUCCUCAUAUAACUUUAAACCUUUAACAACAUUCACCUGCCAGUUGUAAUAUCUCUCAAUCAGUAACAGCUGGCUGCUUUUUUAACAGCAUAAACUAUAGGGAUAUCUACUCUCUGAAUCCAUCUUCUCUAAGGAAAGAAGAUUUUUAAAUUUUGAAUUAAAGAACUCGCCAUGUGCCCUUUCACUUGUUCCUUGGCUGAGAAACCUUUUGUCAACUUGAUUUGAUCACGACGCAGAUUGCAGUCUUCAUGGUUGGAACAAAUGUCAAUGCUCUGACUAGUGGGCUGCACUUCUUGAGAUCCUGUAUCAGUAAUAUCGCUAUCUGGCGAAUCCUCCUCUUCCACAAUCUCGCCGCCAUCUCCACCUUCAUCUACACCGUUUUCUAUGUUUUCCGUCGCUUUUUCUCCAACUUUCUUUUCCUCGACCAAACACAACUCCUUCAACACCACCUCACUCUUAUUUUCACUUUCACCAUUCUUUUCAUUCAAUUUCCUCUCUGCCACUCGCUUUAGUUCCGCUGCAACGUCAGCAAUCGAGUGAUAUUUCUGCAUCUGGAGCACGGGGAUCCAGUUCAGCCUCCUCCGAUGAAUAGCGGCGAAUACCUCCUCGUACUCGGAUCCUGGUCCUCCGCUGAGCUGCGCCAGGUGACUGCAGAGCGCAUCGAUUACGGCGUUGGCUGCCGCGAAUUCCCCUCGAAACCAGGCGAGAAUCGCGUCCUUGGCGAACGCGUCAGCCACCAUCAUCGGCGGCGUUUGUACGGGCACCAUUGUGGGCCCCACUGGUGGAGCUCGAUCCGUAGGCGAUGCUAUCCCGGCCGCCAUCGGCAUCACUGGCAAGUUGAGCUAAUGUUGUUUAUAAUAUGUCAGUAUAAUUCAGCUUGGCCGGCGUGUCUUGAGCCUCCGAUAUAUCGGGAGGGGUGUUACCUGCCGACCGAGAUAUAGGUUGAGAAUAUCGGGGUUGUGAUGAUUCAGGAAAAUGAGAGAAACACAGAGAGAUGCAGGUGAAAGGAAAGGGUUUGGAUCACACAUGGGGGAGG
This 3780-nucleotide unclassified non-coding RNA is filed under the name Hevea brasiliensis (rubber tree). Lineage: Eukaryota; Viridiplantae; Streptophyta; Magnoliopsida; Malpighiales; Euphorbiaceae. The record is from RNAcentral.